Helianthus annuus (common sunflower) is the source of this 103-nucleotide non-coding RNA. NCBI's taxonomy places the organism in Eukaryota, Viridiplantae, Streptophyta, Magnoliopsida, Asterales, Asteraceae. The record is from Rfam.
AUGGAUGUGAUGAUUAUUUCCCCAGAUGAUCGAAUAUGAAAUAACUGAGCGCAUUAUUUAUGUUUCUCCUUUUGGAGAAACUCAAGCCAGAAAUCUGAUCCAU